CAUGCUGAAUUUAAGCAUAUUAGCAGAGGAAAACAAACCAACUAGGAUUUGUUCUGUAAUGGUUAGUGAACAGAGAAGAGCCCAAUACCGAAUCCCUAUCCAGCAGUGAGGCACAGGAAAUAUGGCAUACAGAAGACCCAUUCCCCAGCACUGCUCUUAGGAGGCUCAAGUCCUUUUGAUCAAAGCACAGUCCAUGAAUGUUGUGAGGCCAGUACUGACCCCUGGCAUGCCAGGACACACCAGGAUUGGGUCUUCUUGGAGUCAGGUUGCUUGGAAAUUCAGCCCAAAGGAGAUCCUAAAGUCCAUCUAGGGCUAAAUACCAGCAUGAGAUUAAUAUUCAGUAAGUACCAUAAGGGAAAGUUGAAAAGAACUUUGAAGAGAGAAUUCAAGAGGGAGUUAAAUAGUUAGGGUAUAAAUGGGUGGGGUCCACAUAGUCUGCCCAAAGGAUUCAACCCAGCCAGAUCUGUUAGCCCACAACGGACAAUAUAACCCCCUCACCACACUUAAUAGCAGGUGGUAGAAGACUACUCCCUGGAUGGCCCUGACCCUCACUGGGCACAUUUCCACUGUGGCAGUAUGCCACAACCAGUUCUGGGUCAGCUGGGAAGGCUCCACAGUGACUCCCAGAUCUCUUUCCUGUGUAAUAACAACUAAUAUAGAGCUCAUCAUAGUGCAAGUAUAAUUUGGGUUAUUUUUGCUGUUUUAAUGGAGGAUGUCUGUACAUUAUUUUUUUUUAUCAUGGAGAAACUUCUGCACAUCAGCUUCCAUAUGGUUCUUGAUAGAACAGGA
RNAcentral lists this non-coding RNA (789 nucleotides) under Alligator mississippiensis (American alligator). RNAcentral's name for it is "Eukaryotic large subunit ribosomal RNA". It matches the Rfam family "Eukaryotic large subunit ribosomal RNA", at positions 24 to 637 of the family's 3401-position model. Lineage: Eukaryota; Metazoa; Chordata; Crocodylia; Alligatoridae. The record is from Rfam by way of RNAcentral.